AGAGUUUGAUCAUGGCUCAGGAUGAACGCUGGCGGUAUGCGUAACACAUGCAAGUCGAACGAAGUUUUUCGGAACUUAGUGGCGGACGGGUGAGUAACGCGUGAGAAUCUGCCUUAAGGAUUGGGACAACAGUGGGAAACCGCUGCUAAUACCAAAUAUGCCUUUUAGUGAAACGGGUAAAACCGCCUUAAGAUGAGCUCGCGUCUGAUUAGCUAGUUGGUGUGGUAAGAGCGCACCAAGGCAACGAUCAGUAGCUGGUCUGAGAGGACGAUCAGCCACACUGGGACUGAGACACGGCCCAGACUCCUACGGGAGGCAGCAGUGAGGAAUUUUCCGCAAUGGGCGAAAGCCUGACGGAGCAAUACCGCGUGAGGGAGGAAGGUUCUUGGAUUGUAAACCUCUUUUCUCAGAGAAGAAUAAUGACGGUAUCUGAGGAAUAAGCAUCGGCUAACUCCGUGCCAGCAGCCGCGGUAAUACGGAGGAUGCAAGCGUUAUCCGGAAUGAUUGGGCGUAAAGGGUCUGUAGGUGGUUGUUCAAGUCUGCUGUUAAAGCAUCUGGCUUAACCAGAUAAAGGCGGUGGAAACUGAACGACUAGAGUGCGGUAGGGGUAGAGGGAAUUCCCAGUGUAGCGGUGAAAUGCGUAGAUCUUGGGAAGAACACCUGUGGCGAAAGCGCUCUACUGGACCGCGACUGACACUCAUGGACGAAAGCUAGGGGAGCGAAUGGGAUUAGAUACCCCCGUAGUCC
RNAcentral lists this ribosomal RNA (747 nucleotides) under uncultured cyanobacterium. Its description in RNAcentral is "bacterial SSU rRNA". It matches the Rfam family "Bacterial small subunit ribosomal RNA", at positions 8 to 796 of the family's 1533-position model. Lineage: Bacteria; Bacillati; Cyanobacteriota. The record is from RNAcentral.